RNAcentral lists this ribosomal RNA (256 nucleotides) under uncultured bacterium. RNAcentral describes it as "partial 16S ribosomal RNA". It matches the Rfam family "Bacterial small subunit ribosomal RNA", at positions 524 to 776 of the family's 1533-position model. The record is from RNAcentral.
UACGUAGGGUGCAAGCGUUGUCCGGAAUUAUUGGGCGUAAAGAGCUCGUAGGCGGUUUGUCGCGUCUGCUGUGGAAAAACGCGAGGCUCAACCUCGCGCCUGCAGUGGGUACGGGCAGACUGGAGUGCGGUAGGGGGAGAUUGGAAUUCCUGGUGUAGCGGUGGAAUGCGCAGAUAUCAGGAGGAACACCGAUGGCGAAGGCAGAUCUCUGGGCCGUAACUGACGCUGAGGAGCGAAAGCGUGGGGAGCGAACAGG